Molecule: long non-coding RNA, 92 nt
Organism: Myotis davidii
Lineage: Eukaryota; Metazoa; Chordata; Mammalia; Chiroptera; Vespertilionidae
Exons: 3
Source: RefSeq, a predicted model, not a curated record
GGGAGCCCGCAGGUGGUCACAGCUGGGAGCCCUUAGAAAUGCUGGCUCGGAGGCCCCCACAGCCCCCCGAGUCAGAAUCUGCAUUUCACCUC